RNAcentral lists this transfer RNA (73 nucleotides) under Diaphorina citri (Asian citrus psyllid). It matches the Rfam family "tRNA". From Rfam's summary of the family: Transfer RNA (tRNA) molecules are approximately 80 nucleotides in length. Their secondary structure includes four short double-helical elements and three loops (D, anti-codon, and T loops). Lineage: Eukaryota; Metazoa; Arthropoda; Insecta; Hemiptera; Psyllidae. The record is from Rfam by way of RNAcentral.
GCCUAGUUAGCUUAGUUGGUAGUGCGUCUGCCUUGUAAGCGCUAGGCCGCGGGUUCGAUUCCUGCCCGGAGCG